Molecule: ribosomal RNA, 155 nt
Filed under: Vigna umbellata (rice bean)
Lineage: Eukaryota; Viridiplantae; Streptophyta; Magnoliopsida; Fabales; Fabaceae
Description: partial 5.8S ribosomal RNA
Rfam family: 5.8S ribosomal RNA
About the family: 5.8S ribosomal RNA (5.8S rRNA) is a component of the large subunit of the eukaryotic ribosome. It is transcribed by RNA polymerase I as part of the 45S precursor that also contains 18S and 28S rRNA. Functionally, it is thought that 5.8S rRNA may be involved in ribosome translocation.
Source: RNAcentral
GACUCUCGGCAAUGGAUAUCUCGGCUCUUGCGUCGAUGAAGAACGUAGCGAAAUGCGAUACUUGGUGUGAAUUGCAGAAUCCCGUGAACCAUCGAGUCUUUGAACGCAAGUUGCGCCCGAAGCCACUAGGCCGAGGGCACGCCUGCCUGGGUGUC